CCAGAUUCCAUCCACUCUGCAGUUCAGACGUGUGUCUUCCGAUCUGAUGAAGAUGACUAAGGGAACAUCAUCAUUCAGUAAGCGCCUCAAUAAGACCCACACUUUGUGCCGUCGCUGCGGAUCCAAGGCAUACCAUCUCCAGAAAUCCAC
Dermochelys coriacea (leatherback sea turtle) is the source of this 150-nucleotide long non-coding RNA. RefSeq lists it as uncharacterized. Lineage: Eukaryota; Metazoa; Chordata; Testudines; Dermochelyidae. The transcript has 5 exons. The record is from RefSeq and is a predicted model, not a curated record.